AGUCUGUGUCAGAAAUACAGUCCCCGCUUGGGCACCACAAGGACCCGGCGCUGGGCUGCUUUCCACGGCCCGGCCAACCAGCGCUGCCCACGGCCGCCUGGGGAGCUCUGCAAAAAUGUCAAUUAGCAAUAAAAGUUCUGCAAACAAGCAUAAUGCCAUCUCCUUAUACCUCCCCUGCUGCUCCUCGCAGUCUCACAGUAAUGUCCAGAGCUGAAAAAUGGAUGUUGUGGGCUUCUGCGGCUACUGCCUCUCGGUUGCUGUAAGCUCAGGGUUAUGUUUUACUGGACACGUUGUCCCCUGGAAGUUUGGAUGUCAAAUUGAAAAUAGAGGAGUUAGCCACUGGUGUCCCUUCUGAAGGGAUGUUUUGCAGAUUGGAGUGCCCGUCGUUUACAGCUAAUUCCACUCGGACUCAAGUUAUCUUUGCUUUUGGUUCCUGUCUGUGCUUUUCUCACAGGUGACUUGGGGAUCUCUUAGCUCCUGGCUGUCAUCCACGCAGCUCAGUAGGGGUCUGCAGGCAUCGUUGUCUGCUUCUCCCCACAGUUCUAAUCUAUUUACCUUUCACUGCUGUUCCCUUGAUUUUAAAAAGGAAAAGCCCACACGUCUGAGCAGUGUCUGUGUUUUCUCCAGGUAAUCAAUUACCUAUCUAGGGUGCUGUUUAAUUGCCUCAUCAGGGCCUGUGUAACUCAGAGAGACAUUUCCAAGCAGAAAUCCCUCCCCUGGUUGCUGUGAGGGGAAUCUGCCAAGGCUUUGCCCUUCAUGUGCAGGGUAGAAAGAGAAGCCCAGAAGCCUUCCUAGCCUUGUACCAUCAUCAUGCAGCUCUGAAGGCAGCUGUGUGCAAUGAGCCACCUGGAAUGAGGAGGCACCUGUGAUGAUGACAUUGGUGACAGCUGUGUGAGGGGAGGAGAUAAUUAACAGAGCAGUUAAAUGAGGGACCUGCCAGCUUGCCCCCAUAGUUUUCUGCAGACCUCGAGUGAGUGCAGGAGCUUGUCUGAGAUGGUUUCCCACGACUCCAUACAGACUCCACGUCUUCUGCAGGUCAACCAGAUGGAUGCAAGUCCUAUUGCGCAGAGGAGGUGCGGGGACAGCAAUGCCAGAAGAGGCAGCUUCCAGAUUAAUGUCCGUUUCUCAGCGGUAGAAGUAAAACAUAAUGAAAUGACAGUGAAGCCAGUGCCUGAUUUUUUUCAACCUGGGGCUCCAAACCAGAUGAAAUUGCGAGCAUCCCUAUUCAAUGAACAGGCAAAGAAAGGGCAGCAAAAAUGCUGGCGCCAAGCAAAUGCCAAAACCUUGCCUGAAAAAGCCUGGGGACAAAAACAUUCGAUCUGGAGAGAGAGAGCUGAGCUGAGCAAGCUGUGCCACUGGAAAGGAGAGGGUCUAAAAAACCCCAUCCAUUUCUGCAAGAUCCAAACACAAGCACAGAAUCCCAGACAGAGCGAUUCUGGCUUCUCUCUCGCAGCCAGGGGCAAGGAAACACCAGGAGCCUGGCCAGCAGCCGGAGGCUGUGUAAUUAGAGCAAAGCCGGCUGUGCCGGGCCUAGCGGUGGCUGACAGCCCCGUGGCACAGCCGUGCUGCACGCUUCCAGCCCCGAGCUGGGAUCCCUUCUGGCGAGCAGCUUUCCCCUCUGUCAGCUUGAGAUCUCCUGGGUGUUACUCUGCAAGCUGGUUAGUUUAG
This 1668-nucleotide long non-coding RNA is filed under the name Numida meleagris (helmeted guineafowl). RNAcentral describes it as "lncRNA (ENSNMEG00000022190.1)". Lineage: Eukaryota; Metazoa; Chordata; Aves; Galliformes; Numididae. The record is from RNAcentral.